Molecule: long non-coding RNA, 457 nt
Organism: Andrographis paniculata
Lineage: Eukaryota; Viridiplantae; Streptophyta; Magnoliopsida; Lamiales; Acanthaceae
Exons: 2
Source: RefSeq, a predicted model, not a curated record
AAAAUGAAUCGCGCAGGGGCGUGUCAGCGAGGCAGCGGCGGUGAAUGGCGGCGACCAACGUGCUUUGAGAUGGGAUGGGAGAAUUGGGGAUCUAGGGCUCGAACGAUGAGAAAGGGAAUUGAGAGUGAAUCAAUCGAUUGAGGGCUCAGACACAGUGAUUGGGUUUGUCGAUAAUCUCAUCGAGUUCGCAUACAAGAUAGCAUUGCUGGGUUCGGGAGUGAGUUAGGAAAUGUUGUGCAGAAAAUACCUUUGUCACUGUCGGAAACGUUUGAACCAGCAAUUAUAGCUUUGGAGUACAACUCGAUCCAGUAUUUGAAAAUUAUGCUUGGUGAGCUCCUAAAUUAUAUAUGAUAUUAUGGCACCAAUUUUUCGAAGGUCAUGUUAGUUUAUUUAGUAAUUAAUUUAUAUUUAUGUAAAACCUCGAGAUUUAUUUGUAUAAGGGUAAAAUAUAAUUUUC